This 348-nucleotide long non-coding RNA is filed under the name Androctonus crassicauda. Lineage: Eukaryota; Metazoa; Arthropoda; Arachnida; Scorpiones; Buthidae. The record is from RNAcentral.
UGACAAAUAGAAAAAGUGAUAACAAUGAAAAUGAUUGCAAUAUUAUUAAAAUUCGAAAGAAAAAUAAAAGAACUUUCACUUAACGAAAACGAAAAAAAUCUCGGCCAAUGAAUAUUUUCGCAUCUACUACAGCGUUCAGAUUGCUGUUUUACGCUUCUGAACCUGCAGUGAGAUACGAAACACAAGACCAAUUAAGAGAUUACAAGUCAAACUAUGAUGGAGCCAGUCGAUACGUUGAAGAAAGGGAUCAAAACUUCGAAGGCCAUAGACCGACUCCUGAAAAUGUUAUUCACUUAACUGAAUGCAAUGCAAAAUGUUAGAUCUUUGAAAAUUGAUGCCAAAACUGCU